This is a non-coding RNA of Schistosoma mattheei, 45 nucleotides long. The record is from Rfam. NCBI's taxonomy places the organism in Eukaryota, Metazoa, Platyhelminthes, Trematoda, Strigeidida, Schistosomatidae.
AUCCAACUGACGAGUUUCAAAUAGGAUGAAACGCGCGUCCUGGAU